CCAUCAGGUCAAGCUGGGACGUCUAAUGAAACUGCCUACGCAAGUAGUGAGGAAGGUGGGGAGUGACGUCAAGUCAUCAUGGCCUUUAUGCCCAGGGCGUACACACGUGCUACAAUGGCCGGCACAGACGGCAGCUUAGUGGCGACACUUGGCAAAUCCUCUAAAGCCGGUCCCAGUUCGGAUUGUAGUCUGCAACUCGACUACAUGAAGCCGGAAUCGCUAGUAAUCGCAGAUCAGCCAAGCUGCGGUGAAUACGUUCCCGGGCCUU
RNAcentral lists this ribosomal RNA (268 nucleotides) under uncultured Thermovirga sp. Its description in RNAcentral is "partial 16S ribosomal RNA". It matches the Rfam family "Bacterial small subunit ribosomal RNA", at positions 1118 to 1382 of the family's 1533-position model. The record is from RNAcentral. Lineage: Bacteria; Thermotogati; Synergistota; Synergistia; Synergistales; Thermovirgaceae.